GGCGGGGACAGGGAGGUGUCAGCUGGAGUGAGGGGAUGGGGGGGACACAGCAGGGGAUGGGGACAGGGACACAUGGGCCAGGGGGUGAAGACAUGGUAGGGGAUGGGGACACAUGGACCAGGCCAUGGGGAUGGGGGACACAGAUGUGUCAACUGGAGCGCACAGGUGGGGGACACGGCAGAGGAUGGGGACAGGGACACAUGGGCCAGGCCAUGGGGAUGGAGGACACAGUGGGGGGACAGGGAGGUGUCAGCUGGGACUGAGGAUGCAGCGGUGGGGACAGUGGAGGACGGGGACACAUCGGCCAGGGGAUGGAGACACGGUAGGGGACAGGGACACGUGGGCCAGGUCGUGGGGAUGGGGGACACGGAUGCGUCAACUGGAGCGCAUGGGUGGGUGACAUGGUGGAGGACGGGGACACGUUGGCCAAGCCGUGAGGAACGCAGCGGGGGAGAGGGACGUGUCAGCUGUGGUAUGGGGACGGGGGACAUGGCAUGGGACAGGGACACCUCAAUCAGGGGAUGGGGGACAUGGACACAUCAGCCAGGCCGUAGGGAUGGGGGACAUGGUAUGGGGAGAGGGGACACAUCAGCUAGGACACGAGGGUGGAGGACACAGUCUGGGAUGAGGACGUGUCAGCCAGGCCACGGGGAUGGGGGACACGAUGGAGAACAUGGCCACGUCAGCUGGGGCGCAGUGACAAGGGACAUGGUGGGGAGCAGGGACGCGGCACCCAGGCCACGGGGACAGGGACACAUCAGCCAUGGCGCAGGGACAGCAGACACGGCAGGGGAACGAGACACGCCAGCGAGGACAGGGGGACAUCAGGGAGGGCACGUGGUAGGGGACAGGGACAUCCUGUCUCUGGUGGACAUCAAGGAGGGCAGGAGAGCGGGGCCGUGGGGCAGGACCCACCUUGCUGAUCUUGAUGGCGCAGGGGGCGCCGGGGAAGCCGGGCAGGCAGGUCUUGAAGGCGGAGAUGUCGGAGAAGGGCCCGCGGCCGCAGGCGUUGAGCCCGGCCACCCGGAACUUGUAGGCCGUCCCCGGCUGCAGCUCCUGCCGCUUCAGCUGCGAGUAGUCGGGCACCGAGCCCGAGUCGUCCUGCGGGGGCCGCGGGGGGGGGGACGUCAGCGGGAUGGGGGACACGCAGCGGUGCCCGCGGGGGUGUUGGGGUGGCAAGGGGCGCCCGUGGGGACAUCAGGAUGCCCGCAAGGGACAUUGAGAGGACAAGGGAUGUCCAUGCGGACAUCAGGGGGACAGGGGAUGCCUGUGGGAAUGUCAGGAUGGCCGCAGGAGACAUCGGGGGACAGGGGAUGUCCAUGGGGACAUCAGGAUGCCCAUGGGGGGGACAUCAGGGGGACAAGGGAUGCCCAUAGGGACAUCAGGGGGACAGGGGAUGUCCAUGGGGACAUCAGGAUGUCCACAGGGGACAGCAGAAGGACAAGGGAUGCCCCUGGGGACAGGAAAUGUCCGUAGGGGACAUCAGGGGGACAAGGGAUGUCCAUAGGGUCAGCAAGAUGCCCAUGGGGGGGACAUCAGGGGGACAGGGGAUGCUCAUGGGGACAUCAGGAUGUCCAUAGGGGACAGCAAAAGGACAAGGGAUGCCCCUGGGGACAGGAAAUGUCCAUAGGGGACAUCGGGGGACAAGGGAUGUCUAUGGGGACAGCAAGAUGCCCAAAGGGGACAUUAGGGGGACAGGGGAUGCCCAUGGGGACAUCAGGAUGCCCAAAGAGGACAUCAGGGGGACAGGGGAUGCCCAUGGGGACAUCAGGAUGUCCAUAGGGGACAGCAAAAGGACAAGGGAUGCCCCUGGGGACAGGAAAUGUCCAUAGGGGACAUCAAGGGAACAGGGGAUGCCCAUGGGGACAUCAGGAUGUCCAUAGGGGACAGCAAAAGGACAAGGGAUGCCCCUGGGGACAGGAAAUGUCCGUAGGGGACAUCAGGGGGACAAGGGAUGUCCAUGGGGACAGCAAGAUGCCCAAAGGAGACAUCAGAGGGACAAGGGAUGUCCA
This 2012-nucleotide long non-coding RNA is filed under the name Apteryx owenii (little spotted kiwi). Its description in RNAcentral is "lncRNA (ENSAOWG00000016378.1)". Lineage: Eukaryota; Metazoa; Chordata; Aves; Apterygiformes; Apterygidae. The record is from RNAcentral.